Molecule: ribosomal RNA, 423 nt
Filed under: uncultured bacterium
Lineage: Bacteria
Description: partial 16S ribosomal RNA
Rfam family: Bacterial small subunit ribosomal RNA
Source: RNAcentral
AAUUUUGGACAAUGGGGGAAACCCUGAUCCAGCCAUCCCGCGUGUAUGAUGAAGGCCUUCGGUUUGUAAAGUACUUUUGGCAGAGAAGAAAAGGUAUCCCCUAAUACGGGAUACUGCUGACAGUAUCUGCAGAAUAAGCACCGGCUAACUACUUCCCAGCAGCCGCGGUAAUACGUAGUGCGACAGCGUUAAUCGGAAUUACUGGGCGUAAGCGUGUGUAGGCGGUUCGGAAAGAAAGAUGUUAAAUCCAAGGGCUCAGCCUUGACACUGCAUUUUUAACUGCCGAGCUAGAGUAUGUCAGAGGGGGGUAGAAUUCCACGUGUAGCAGUGAAAUGCGUAGAUAUGUGGAGGAAUACCGAUGGCGAAGGCAGCCCCCUGGGAUAAUACUGACGCUCAGACACGAAAGCGUGGGGAGCAAACAGG